This 459-nucleotide ribosomal RNA is filed under the name uncultured bacterium. RNAcentral describes it as "partial 16S ribosomal RNA". It matches the Rfam family "Bacterial small subunit ribosomal RNA", at positions 338 to 795 of the family's 1533-position model. The record is from RNAcentral.
CCUACGGCGGCAGCAGUGAGGAAUAUUGGUCAAUGGACGAGAGUCUGACCCAGCCAAGUAGCGUGAAGGAUGACUGCCCUAUGGGUUGUAACCUUCUUUUAUCUGGGUAUAAAACAGGGUAUGCAUACCUUCUUGUCUGUACCAUAUGAAUACGGAUCGGCUAACUCCGUGCCAGCAGCCGCGGUAAUACGGAGGAUCCGAGCGUUAUCCGGAUUUUUUGGGUUUAAAGGGAGCGUAGGUGGGUUGUUAAGUCAGUUGUGAAAGUUUGCGGCUCAACCGUAAAAUUGCAGUUGAGACUGGCAGUCUGGAGUACAGUAGAGGUGGGCGGAAUUCGUGGUGUAGCGGUGAAAUGCUUAGAUAUCACGAAGAACUCCGAUUGCGAAGGCAGCUCACUGGACUGCAACUGACACUGAUGCUCGAAAGUGUGGGUAUCAAACAGGAUUAGAUACCCGGGUAGUC